This 274-nucleotide ribosomal RNA is filed under the name uncultured bacterium. RNAcentral describes it as "partial 16S ribosomal RNA". It matches the Rfam family "Bacterial small subunit ribosomal RNA", at positions 523 to 796 of the family's 1533-position model. The record is from RNAcentral.
AUACAGAGGGUGCGAGCGUUAAUCGGAAUUACUGGGCGUAAAGCGCGCGUAGGCGGCUUGGUCAGUCGGAUGUGAAAGCCCCGGGCUCAACCUGGGAAUGGCAUUCGAUACUGCCAGGCUAGAGUAUGGGAGAGGGAAGUGGAAUUUCCGGUGUAGCGGUGAAAUGCGUAGAUAUCGGAAAGAACACCAGUGGCGAAGGCGACUUUCUGGCCCAAUACUGACGCUGAGGUGCGAAAGCGUGGGGAGCGAACAGGAUUAGAUACCCUAGUAGUCC